ACAGUCACACAUUAGAUACCCGGGUAGUCCUAGCCGUAAACGAUACUCGCUAGGUGUCGGCCACGGUGCGACCGUUGUCGGUGCCGUAGGGAAGCCGUGAAGCGAGCCACCUGGGAAGUACGGCCGCAAGGCUGAAACUUAAAGGAAUUGGCGGGGAGCACAACAACGGGUGGAGCUUGCGGUUUAAUUGGAUUCAACGCCGGAAAUCUUACCGGGACCGACAGCAACAUGAAGGCCAAGCUGAAGACUUUGCCGGAUUAGCUG
RNAcentral lists this ribosomal RNA (264 nucleotides) under uncultured archaeon. RNAcentral describes it as "partial 16S ribosomal RNA". It matches the Rfam family "Archaeal small subunit ribosomal RNA", at positions 719 to 982 of the family's 1478-position model. The record is from RNAcentral.